This 346-nucleotide ribosomal RNA is filed under the name uncultured bacterium. Its description in RNAcentral is "partial 16S ribosomal RNA". It matches the Rfam family "Bacterial small subunit ribosomal RNA", at positions 338 to 681 of the family's 1533-position model. The record is from RNAcentral.
CCUACGGGAGGCAGCAGUGAGGAAUAUUGGUCAAUGGGCGCGAGCCUGAACCAGCCAAGUAGCGUGAAGGAUGACUGCCCUACGGGUUGUAAACUGCUUUUAUAAAGGAAUAAAGUGAGGCACGUGUGCCGUUUUGUAUGUACUUUAUGAAUAAGGAUCGGCUAACUCCGUGCCAGCAGCCGCGGUAAUACGGAGGAUCCGAGCGUUAUCCGGAUUUAUUGGGUUGAAAGGGAGCGUAGAUGGGUUGUUAAGUCAGUUGGGAAAGUUUGCGGCUCCACCGUAAAAUUGCAAUUUAUACUGGCAGUCUUGCGUACAGUUGCGGUAGGCGGAAUUCGUGGUGUAGCGG